RNAcentral lists this ribosomal RNA (254 nucleotides) under uncultured bacterium. RNAcentral's name for it is "partial 16S ribosomal RNA". It matches the Rfam family "Bacterial small subunit ribosomal RNA", at positions 524 to 776 of the family's 1533-position model. The record is from RNAcentral.
UACAGAGGGGGCAAGCGUUGUUCGGAAUUACUGGGCGUAAAGGGCGCGUAGGCGGCCUUCUAAGUCGAACGUGAAAUCCCACGGCUCAACCGUGGAACUGCUCGGUAUACUGGCGAUCUUGGGCCACUUAGGGGCUAGCGGAACAAACGGUGGAGCGGUGAAAUGCGUAGAUAUCUGGAGGAAUACCGGUGGCGAAGGCGGCAUCCUGGGACCGGCAUUGACGCUGAGGAGCGAAAGCUAGGGGAGCAAACGGG